Long non-coding RNA from Cyprinus carpio (common carp), 254 nucleotides. RefSeq lists it as uncharacterized. The record is from RefSeq and is a predicted model, not a curated record. The transcript has 3 exons. Lineage: Eukaryota; Metazoa; Chordata; Actinopteri; Cypriniformes; Cyprinidae.
CCUGACCGUGAUCAUGCACAACAUUGUGUUUCCCAUUAUUAAAGCUCACUUAGCCAAAGGUUUACAACCUCCUGGUUUAUUAGGAUCCUAUAUUGGGAAGGUACACAUUAUAAACCCUCAAGUUAAGGUUCUUAAUGAUUACGUGUUGAUUGGAACAGAUAUCGAGUUCGAAGAAAACACCUCAUCUUUUGCACCACUGAGGGAAAAUAUAUUUGUAAAGGCGAUUUAAAGAGAAAUCAAAUGCAUUUACCUCU